CAAAGGACCCCACCUCCUAGUACCAUCACACUAGGAUUCGGGUUUUAUCAUACUAAUUUUAUGGGGACGCAUUCAGUCCAUUGCAGCCAUCAAGAUUCCUGGCCCCUGGUAUACACAGGCCUUCUCUCAGUUAUUCAGUCAAACACUAAUCCAGGAGUCUAUAGUCAUCCUACAGGAAAUUGUAUCAAAAUUAAAGAAGACUGAGUUAAUUUAUUGUACUGCCAGGAAUUGUGCUGAGAAUGUGAAUGAAAGGACAAAAGACACAUUUUGUGGCUUUGAAAAUUUCAGAUGGGACCAUUGACUGAUGUCCUAAACACCAUUCUGAAGCUCUAAUAGUGUCUAGUGUAAACUGUGAAAUAUUGAUACAUUUCCUCUUACAAUGAGUGACAUUAUUUGAUCCCUAACCGUGGACAUCAUUGUGGAAAUUCACCUCCACCCCAUCCUCACCUCAUCAAGUCCCUAGCAUUCCAACACUAUAAUGUCUACUUCUGCAGCUGAUAUUCUGAUUUCUAGAAUGUGUUUGUCAAAUAUUAUAUCUGU
Pan troglodytes (chimpanzee) is the source of this 540-nucleotide long non-coding RNA. RefSeq lists it as uncharacterized. The record is from RefSeq and is a predicted model, not a curated record. Lineage: Eukaryota; Metazoa; Chordata; Mammalia; Primates; Hominidae. The transcript has 3 exons.